GGACAGCUAAGCAUUAUUUAAGAUCAGAGGGAGAGAGAUGCUUAUUAGUGAGAGACGAAUAUUCACUCGAAUAGAUUUCAGAUACCAUCAUAUUUACUUAUCUCUCUGUCCUUUUUUUUUCUUUUUUUUUUGAUUUGGCAUUUAUAAAGCAAAAUAACAUAUAUACAUAUAAAUAAGGAGGUUGUGUUGGCGUAUUGAUUUGAGUUUAGUUUAUACGGAUCUACAAGUAAGUAAGCCAGAUAUAAUUCGAAGUAAUAAUCAAAACGAUAGUAUAUGAUACGUAACGAAAAACUAUUUGUUCUAUUGACCGACAUUAAUAACAAAGUCA
This 328-nucleotide long non-coding RNA is filed under the name Capsella rubella. RNAcentral's name for it is "long non-coding RNA (CRUB_LNC001810)". The record is from RNAcentral. Lineage: Eukaryota; Viridiplantae; Streptophyta; Magnoliopsida; Brassicales; Brassicaceae.